Molecule: ribosomal RNA, 21 nt
Filed under: Rhizopus sexualis
Lineage: Eukaryota; Fungi; Mucoromycota; Mucoromycetes; Mucorales; Rhizopodaceae
Also listed under: 1 other name
Description: partial 28S ribosomal RNA
Source: RNAcentral
UGAAGUCAAGUGGGAUUACCC